CAAUAGCGUAUAUUAAAGUUGUUGCGGUUAAAAAGCUCGUAGUUGGAUUUCUGCUGAGAACGACCGGUCCGCCCUUUGGGUGUGUAUCUGGCUCUUUCUUGGCAUCUUCUUGGUGAACGUUGCUGCACUUGACUGUGUGGAGCGCUACCCAGGACUUUUACUUUGAGGAAAUUAGAGUGUUUCAAGCAGGCAUACGCCUUGAAUACAUUAGCAUGGAAUAAUAAGAUAGGACCUCGGUUCUAUUUUGUUGGUUUCUAGAGCUGAGGUAAUGAUUAAUAGGGAUAGUUGGGGGCAUUCGUAUUUAACUGUCAGAGGUGAAAUUAUUGGAUUUGUUAAAGACGGACUACUGCGAAAGCAUUUGCCAAGGAUGUUUUCAUUG
RNAcentral lists this ribosomal RNA (379 nucleotides) under uncultured eukaryote. RNAcentral describes it as "partial 18S ribosomal RNA". It matches the Rfam family "Eukaryotic small subunit ribosomal RNA", at positions 592 to 975 of the family's 1831-position model. The record is from RNAcentral.